Molecule: ribosomal RNA, 318 nt
Filed under: uncultured Microbacterium sp.
Lineage: Bacteria; Bacillati; Actinomycetota; Actinomycetes; Micrococcales; Microbacteriaceae
Description: bacterial SSU rRNA
Rfam family: Bacterial small subunit ribosomal RNA
Source: RNAcentral
CAGGGGAUUAUACCGGGGUCAACUCGGAGGAAGGGGGGGAUGACGUCAAAUAAUCAAGGCCCUUAUGUCUAAGGCUUCACGCAUGCUACAAUGGACGGUACAAAGGGCUGCAAUACCGUGAGGUGGAGCGAAUCCCAAAAAGCCGGUCCCAGUUCGGAUUGAGGUCUGCAACUCGACCUCAUGAAGUCGGAGUCGCUAGUAAUCGCAGAUCAGCAACGCUGCGGUGAAUACGUUCCCGGGUCUUGUACACACCGCCCGUCAAGUCAUGAAAGUCGGUAACACCUGAAGCCGGUUGCGCCUAACCCCUUGUGGGGAAUU